This 140-nucleotide unclassified non-coding RNA is filed under the name uncultured Preussia. RNAcentral describes it as "sequence contains ITS1". Lineage: Eukaryota; Fungi; Ascomycota; Dothideomycetes; Pleosporales; Sporormiaceae. The record is from RNAcentral.
UCGUGGGGCUUCGGCCCUCUCGAGAUAGAACCCUUGCCUUUUUGAGUACCUUCGUUUCCUCGGCAGGCUCGCCUGCCAAUGGGGACCCCAAUAAACCCUUUGUAAUACCUGUAAUCGUCUGACAAAACAAACAAAAAUUA